Molecule: ribosomal RNA, 389 nt
Filed under: uncultured bacterium
Lineage: Bacteria
Description: bacterial SSU rRNA
Rfam family: Bacterial small subunit ribosomal RNA
Source: RNAcentral
AACGAACGCUGGCGGCGCGCCUAAUACAUGCAAGUCGAGCGAGAAGACGUAGCAAUACGCUUGUAAAGCGGCGAACGGGUGAGGAAUACAUGGGUAACCUACCCUCGAGUGGGGAAUAACUAGCCGAAAGGUUAGCUAAUACCGCGUACGCUCCUUGGACUUCGGUUCAGGGAGGAAAGCGAUACCGUGGGUAUCGCGCUCUUGGAUGGGCUCAUGUCCUAUCAGCUUGUUGGNGAGGUAACGGCUCACCAAGGCUUCGACGGGUAGCUGGUCUGAGAGGACGAUCAGCCACACUGGCACUGCGACACGGGCCAGACUCCUACGGGAGGCAGCAGUAAGGAAUAUUGCGCAAUGGGCGAAAGCCUGACGCAGCGACGCCGCGUGGGGGA